This is a long non-coding RNA of Neofelis nebulosa (Clouded leopard), 849 nucleotides long. RefSeq lists it as uncharacterized. Lineage: Eukaryota; Metazoa; Chordata; Mammalia; Carnivora; Felidae. The transcript has 3 exons. The record is from RefSeq and is a predicted model, not a curated record.
UGUCCUCCUCAUCCAGAUGCUUGGAGGAUUUUUAUCUGGAGAAACGGACAGAUCCAUGAGAAAAGACGUCAAGAUACUGAAAUCUUGUGGUUCUCCAAUGAACAAGCUGACUCACUGCCUCAUCGUCUUAGGAGAAGUUUCAUCAGCCAACACCAUACCCCGCAUGCGUGGAACUCACGAAGGGCUUUCUAGAGUCCUCUCUUCAGUCUGAUCACCACUCAGUGCAGGAAAUCUCCAGGCUGAAAGGGAAAGACCCAAAUAAGCAAGAAACAAGGCGAGAACAAGAAAAAUGUACAGUAUUUAAAUAAGGGGAGGUAAAUAUUAGGAGGAUCAGCUAAAGCAGUGGAGAGUGGCUGCCCCAGGGAGCAAGAUUCAGGAGCGAGGAGGAUUGAAACUGCUGAGUUUCAUGAUUUGAAGGCAUUGACUCUGAAUUUGGGUGGAACAGGACUGUCAGACUUCACUCAGCCCCACGUUCCGCAGGACUUUUCAAGAGACGUCCUCAUUUCAGCUGGAUUUCAACCCAGUAGAAGGCUGGAGAAGUGGAGGCCACCCUGGAUCCUAAGAAAAGCUGGCAUAGAAAAAGCCUUAUCUCAAGAAAUGGUGCCUUGUUGGGAGUGGACUUCCCUCUCACCAUCCAAUUCCAGGAGUGGUGCAGCAGGUGUAUUGCAACACCGACGAGGAUUCGGAUUCGUGACAGUGUCUCCGCAAACAGGGGUGGUGAGAACAAAUGAGGGAACACAGGUGAGGUGUGGGGAGCAGUCUGCACUCAGAUCCAGGCUCACUAUCAGAAAAAAACACGGCCUAACAACUGUUCUAAAAAAGGUUUAUUAAACAUAAAUUUUUUAAGUU